AACGAACGCUGGCGGCAGGCCUAACACAUGCAAGUCGAACGCCCUAGCAAUAGGGAGUGGCAGACGGGUGAGUAACACGUGGGAACCUUCCCUAUAGUACGGAAUAUACCAGGGAAACUUGGAGCAAUACCGUAUACGCCCGAGAGGGGAAGAUUUAUCGCUAUAGGAUGGGCCCGCGUAGGAUUAGCUAGUUGGUGAGGUAAUGGCUCACCAAGGCGACGAUCCUUAGCUGGUUUGAGAGAACGACCAGCCACACUGGGACUGAGACACGGCCCAGACUCCUACGGGAGGCAGCAGUGGGGAAUAUUGGACAAUGGGCGCAAGCCUGAUCCAGCCAUGCCGCGUGAGUGAUGAAGGCCUUAGGGUUGUAAAGCUC
Molecule: ribosomal RNA, 376 nt
Filed under: uncultured bacterium
Lineage: Bacteria
Description: bacterial SSU rRNA
Rfam family: Bacterial small subunit ribosomal RNA
Source: RNAcentral